RNAcentral lists this long non-coding RNA (364 nucleotides) under Homo sapiens (human). RNAcentral describes it as "HSALNT0003616". Lineage: Eukaryota; Metazoa; Chordata; Mammalia; Primates; Hominidae. The record is from RNAcentral.
UGGUGGCACUAUGGGUCCUGAUGGUGGUAACAACUGCUGAUGCCCAUCUUGGCCUGGGGCACUGAGAUCGCCCGGAGAUCACAGUGUUAGCUUCAGGGCGGGGUAGAAAUUAGAGGAUAGGGGAUCUCUAGGGCCUGGUGAGUUGAGGGCCUAAGGGGAGUGGGUCUCAGGCUCCUUCCAAGCCUCAGCCUAGAUCAGGCCCAGGAACCCAGUGUGAAUGUGUGUGCUGGGGUCGGGGAUAAGGUGCUUCUCUCCCGUUGGAAGGAGAAGGAACAUCUGGGCUGGGAUUCCAAAAGAGCUGAGCGGGGGAGAACGGUGGCCCUGGUGUGGUGUGUCCAGGGGUACACCACUGGAAGGGAAGGAG